This 253-nucleotide ribosomal RNA is filed under the name uncultured bacterium. Its description in RNAcentral is "partial 16S ribosomal RNA". It matches the Rfam family "Bacterial small subunit ribosomal RNA", at positions 524 to 776 of the family's 1533-position model. The record is from RNAcentral. RNAcentral also lists the same sequence under 1 other name.
GACGAACCGUGCGAACGUUGUUCGGAAUCACUGGGCUUAAAGGGCGCGUAGGUGGUUUGCCAAGUCGGGGUUGAAAUCUUUCGGCUUAACCGGAAAAGUGGCUUCGAUACUGGCAAGCUGGAGGGAGGUAGGGGCGGAUGGAACUUCCGGUGGAGCGGUGAAAUGUGUUGAUAUCGGAAGGAACGCCGGUGGCGAAAGCGAUCCGCUGGACCUCUUCUGACACUGAGGCGCGAAAGCCAGGGGAGCAAACGGG